Molecule: ribosomal RNA, 523 nt
Filed under: uncultured Bacteroides sp.
Lineage: Bacteria; Pseudomonadati; Bacteroidota; Bacteroidia; Bacteroidales; Bacteroidaceae
Description: bacterial SSU rRNA
Rfam family: Bacterial small subunit ribosomal RNA
Source: RNAcentral
AUAACACCAUUAAAGAUUCAUCGGUAAACGAUGGGGAUGCGUUCCAUUAGGUAGUAGGGGGGGUAACGGCCCACCUAGCCUACGAUGGAUAGGGGUUCUGAGAGGAAGGUCCCCCACAUUGGAACUGAGACACGGUCCAAACUCCUACGGGAGGCAGCAGUGAGGAAUAUUGGUCAAUGGGCGAGAGCCUGAACCAGCCAAGUAGCGUGAAGGAUGAAGGUCCUACGGAUUGUAAACUUCUUUUAUAAGGGAAUAAAACGCUCCACGUGUGGAGCCUUGUAUGUACCUUAUGAAUAAGCAUCGGCUAACUCCGUGCCAGCAGCCGCGGUAAUACGGAGGAUGCGAGCGUUAUCCGGAUUUAUUGGGUUUAAAGGGAGCGCAGACGGGAUGUUAAGUCAGCUGUGAAAGUUUGGGGCUCAACCGUAAAAUUGCAGUUGAUACUGGCGUUCUUGAGUGCAGUUGAGGUGUGCGGAAUUCGUGGGGUAGCGGUGAAAUGCUUAGAUAUCACGAAGAGGUCCGAUUG